UACAGGGGGGGCAAGCGUUGUUCGGAAUUACUGGGCGUAAAGGGUCUGUAGGUGGCCAACUAAGUCAGACGUGAAAUCCCUCAGCUUAACUGGGGAACUGCGUCUGAUACUGGUUGGCUUGAGUGCAGGAGAGGAACGCGGAAUUCCAGGUGUAGCGGUGAAAUGCGUAGAAAUCUGGAGGAACACCGGUGGCGAAGGCGGCGUUCUGGACUGCAACUGACACUGAGGAACGAAAGCCAGGGUAGCAAACGGG
RNAcentral lists this ribosomal RNA (253 nucleotides) under uncultured bacterium. RNAcentral describes it as "partial 16S ribosomal RNA". It matches the Rfam family "Bacterial small subunit ribosomal RNA", at positions 524 to 776 of the family's 1533-position model. The record is from RNAcentral.